CAGCCGCCGCGGUAAUUCCGGCGGCCCGAGUGGCGGCCACUAUUAUUGGGCUUAAAGCGUCCGUAGCCGGGUUGGUUAGUCUCCCGGGAAAUCUGGCCGCUUAACGGUCAGAAUUCCGGGAGAUACUGCCAGCCUAGGGACCGGGAGAGGCCGAGGGUAUUCCCGGAGUAGGGGUGAAAUCCUAUAAUCCCGGGAGGACCACCUGUGGCGAAGGCGCUCGGCUGGAACGGGUCCGACGGUGAGGGACGAAGGCCAGGGGACCAAACCGGAUUAGAUACCCGGGUAGUCCUGGCUGUAAACGAUGCGGACUUUGUGUCGGACAAGCUAUGAGCUUGUCCGGUGCCGGAGGGAAACCGUUAAGUCCGCCGCCUGGGGAGUACGGCCGCAAGGCUGAAACUUAAAGGAAUUGGCGGG
RNAcentral lists this ribosomal RNA (414 nucleotides) under uncultured microorganism. RNAcentral's name for it is "bacterial SSU rRNA". It matches the Rfam family "Archaeal small subunit ribosomal RNA", at positions 459 to 872 of the family's 1478-position model. The record is from RNAcentral.